AUUGACCGCUGGCGGCGGUCUUAACACCUGCAAGUCGAGCGAGCGGCGGCCGGGUGAGUACUGUCUGGGAAACUGCCUGAUGGCGGGGGAUAACUCCUGGAAACGGUAGCUAAUACCGCAUACCAUCAGAUGUGCCCAGCUGGGAUGAGCUAGUAGGUGGGGUAAUGGCUCACCUAGGCGACGAUCCCUAGCUGGUCUGAGAGGAUGACAAGACAAACUGGAACGGAGACACGGUCCAGAAUCCGACGGGAGGCAGCAGGGGGGAAUAUGGCACAAUGGGCGCAAGCCUGAUGCAGCCAUGCCGCGUGUGUGAAGAAGGCCUUCGGGUUGUAAAGCACUUUCAGCGAGGAGGCGUUACUCGCAGAAGAAGCACCGGCUAACUCCGUGCCAGCAGCCGCGGUAAUAC
RNAcentral lists this ribosomal RNA (406 nucleotides) under uncultured bacterium. RNAcentral describes it as "partial 16S ribosomal RNA". It matches the Rfam family "Bacterial small subunit ribosomal RNA", at positions 29 to 526 of the family's 1533-position model. The record is from RNAcentral.